Glycine soja is the source of this 120-nucleotide non-coding RNA. The record is from Rfam. NCBI's taxonomy places the organism in Eukaryota, Viridiplantae, Streptophyta, Magnoliopsida, Fabales, Fabaceae.
CUCUUAUUAGAUGAUGACUGUCAUGUGUCAUAUUUUGAUUGGAUGCCAACUUCAUGAAAGGUGAAAUGUAUUAUUGUUUUCAUUGACCAAUCAGAACAUGACACGUGACAAUCAUCAUCU